CCUCAGGAAAAGAAUUUUAGUCCAACCUAAAGUUGCCUUAAUACUGUUAAAUUAAAAAUUCAACUUUAGAGCAACUCAAAUAAGGUACAGCCUAUUUGAGACAGGAAACAACCUUCACCAAUGGGUAAACAAUUUAGUAACAUAAUCAAGUAGGCCUAAGAACAGCCACCUUUAAAAAAGCGUCAAAGCUUAUAUAUAAAACUUAUUAAUAACUAUACCUCCACUGACCCCUUCAACCGUACUGAGUAUUUCUAUACUAUUAUAGAACCUUUUAUGUUAAAACUAGUAACAAGAAGCAAAACUUCUCUUUUAUGUGAACGUAAGUCAGUAAGGACCCCCCACUGACAAUUAACAGACCAUUAAAAUAGCAAACCCACUGGAAAACCCUAUUAUAGCCCUCUGUUAACCUAACACAAGAACAUCACAAGACAGAUUAAAAGAAAAAGAAGGAACUCGGCAAAUCAUCAACCCCGCCUGUUUACCAAAAACAUCGCCUCUUGCAAACAUAAGAGGUCCAGCCUGCCCAGUGACUUCAGUUCAACGGCCGCGGUAUCCUAACCGUGCAAAGGUAGCGUAAUCACUUGUCUUCUAAAUAAAGACUUGUAUGAAAGGCAUCACGAGGGUCAAACUGUCUCCUUUUUCCAAUCAGUGAAACUAAUCUCCCCGUGAAAAAGCGGGGAUAAUAUUAUAAGACGAGAAGACCCUAUGGAGCUUUAAACUUAACAGCACUUGCCCUUUAACUAAAAAUAACCUCCUCCCUACAUUUUGCUGUGAGUUUUAGGUUGGGGUGACCGCGGAGAAAAAUAAAUCCUCCUCAAUGAAAUAGAAUUAAUCCUUAAGUGAAAAGCCACACCUUAACACAUCAAUACUCUUGACAUCUAUUGACCCAAUAUUUUGACCAACGAACCAAGUUACCCUAGGGAUAACAGCGCCAU
Molecule: ribosomal RNA, 935 nt
Filed under: Phrynopus barthlenae
Lineage: Eukaryota; Metazoa; Chordata; Amphibia; Anura; Strabomantidae
Description: partial 16S ribosomal RNA
Rfam family: Bacterial large subunit ribosomal RNA
Source: RNAcentral